GCGGGGGUUCCGGAGUGGUCAAACGGGCAGGGUUGAGGACCCUGUGGCGAAUGCCUACGCGGGUUCGAAUCCCGCCCCCCGCA
This 83-nucleotide transfer RNA is filed under the name Candidatus Bathyarchaeota archaeon. RNAcentral describes it as "tRNA-Leu". It matches the Rfam family "tRNA". Rfam says of the family: Transfer RNA (tRNA) molecules are approximately 80 nucleotides in length. Their secondary structure includes four short double-helical elements and three loops (D, anti-codon, and T loops). Further hydrogen bonds mediate the characteristic L-shaped molecular structure. tRNAs have two regions of fundamental functional importance: the anti-codon, which is responsible for specific mRNA codon recognition, and the 3' end, to which the tRNAs corresponding amino acid is attached (by aminoacyl-tRNA synthetases). tRNAs cope with the degeneracy of the genetic code in two manners: having more than one tRNA (with a specific anti-codon) for a particular amino acid; and 'wobble' base-pairing, i.e. permitting non-standard base-pairing at the 3rd anti-codon position. The record is from RNAcentral. Lineage: Archaea; Thermoproteati; Candidatus Bathyarchaeota. RNAcentral also lists the same sequence under 2 other names.